This 253-nucleotide ribosomal RNA is filed under the name uncultured bacterium. RNAcentral describes it as "partial 16S ribosomal RNA". It matches the Rfam family "Bacterial small subunit ribosomal RNA", at positions 524 to 776 of the family's 1533-position model. The record is from RNAcentral.
UACGGGGGGGGCAAGCGUUGUUCGGAAUUACUGGGCGUAAAGGGCUCGUAGGCGGCCAACUAAGUCAGACGUGAAAUCCCUCGGCUUAACCGGGGAACUGCGUCUGAUACUGGAUGGCUUGAGUUUGGGAGAGGGAUGCGGAAUUCCAGGUGUAGCGGUGAAAUGCGUAGAUAUCUGGAGGAACACCGGUGGCGAAGGCGGCAUCCUGGACCACGACUGACACUGAAAAGCGAAAGCCAGGGGAGCAAACGGG